CAGUAGCCACGGUAAUACGUAGGGUGCGAGCGUUAAUCGGAAUUACUGGGCGUAAAGCGUGCGCAGGCGGUUUGUUAAGACAGAUGUGAAAUCCCCGGGCUUAACCUGGGAACUGCAUUUGUGACUGGCGAGCUAGAGUAUGGCAGAGGGGGGUAGAAUUCCACGUGUAGCAGUGAAAUGCGUAGAGAUGUGGAGGAAUACCGAUGGCGAAGGCAGCCCCCUGGGCCAAUACUGACGCUCAUGCACGAAAGCGUGGGGAGCAAACAGGAUUAGAUACCCCCGUAGUCCCUGUCUCUUAUAC
This 301-nucleotide ribosomal RNA is filed under the name uncultured bacterium. RNAcentral describes it as "partial 16S ribosomal RNA". It matches the Rfam family "Bacterial small subunit ribosomal RNA", at positions 509 to 807 of the family's 1533-position model. The record is from RNAcentral.